Molecule: ribosomal RNA, 406 nt
Filed under: uncultured bacterium
Lineage: Bacteria
Description: partial 16S ribosomal RNA
Rfam family: Bacterial small subunit ribosomal RNA
Source: RNAcentral
GACGAACGCUGGCGGCGUGCCUAAUACAUGCAAGUCGAACGAGUGGCGGAUGGGUGAGUAAUGUCUGGGUAACUGCCUGAUGGAGGGGGCUAACUCGUGGACACGGUAGCUAAUACCGCAUACCAUCAGAUGUGCCCAGAUGGGAUUAGCGAGUAGGUGGGGUAACGGCUCACCUAGGCGACGAUACCUAGCUGGUCUGAGAGGAUGACCAGCCACACUGGAACUGAGACACGGUCCAGACUCCUACGGGAGGCAGCAGUGGGGAAUAUUGCACAAUGGGCGCAAGCCUGAUGCAGCCAUGCCGCGUGUAUGAAGAAGGCCUUCGGGUUGUAAAGUACUUUCAGCGGGGAGGCGUUACCCGCAGAAGAAUCACCGGCUAACUCCGUGCCAGCAGCCGCGGUAAUUC